Molecule: ribosomal RNA, 200 nt
Filed under: uncultured bacterium
Lineage: Bacteria
Description: partial 16S ribosomal RNA
Rfam family: Bacterial small subunit ribosomal RNA
Source: RNAcentral
ACGCUCGACACCUACGGGGGGCAGCAGUGGGGAAUAUUGCACAAUGGGGGAAACCCGUGAUGCAGCAACGCCGCGUGAAGGAAGACGGUUUUCGGAUUGUAAACUUCUGUUCUUAGUGAAGAUAGUGACGGUAGCUAAGGAGCAAGCCACGGCUAACUACGUGCCAGCAGCCGCGGUAAUCUGAGGCGGGCUGGCAAGGC